Molecule: transfer RNA, 67 nt
Filed under: Podomys floridanus (Florida mouse)
Lineage: Eukaryota; Metazoa; Chordata; Mammalia; Rodentia; Cricetidae
Description: tRNA-Pro
Rfam family: tRNA
About the family: Transfer RNA (tRNA) molecules are approximately 80 nucleotides in length. Their secondary structure includes four short double-helical elements and three loops (D, anti-codon, and T loops).
Source: RNAcentral
CAGGAAGUAGUUUAUAUAGAAUAUCAGCUUUGGGUGUUGAUGGUGGAGGUUAGUCCUUCCUUCUUGA